GAUGAACGCUAGCGGCAGGCUUAAUACAUGCAAGUCGUGGGGCAGCGCGUUAUAGCAAUAUGAUGGCGGCGACCGGCAAACGGGUGCGUAACACGUACGCAACCUUCCUACAGGCGGGGAAUAGCCCAGAGAAAUUUGGAUUAAUACCCCAUAAGAUUUUGGAGUGGCAUCACUCUAUUAUUAAAGCUUCGGCACCUGAAGAUGGGCGUGCGGCUGAUUAGGUAGUUGGCGGGGUAACGGCCCACCAAGCCUUCGAUCAGUAGCUGAUGUGAGAGCAUGAUCAGCCACACGGGCACUGAGACACGGGCCCGACUCCUACGGGAGGCAGCAGUAAGGAAUAUUGGUCAAUGGACGAAAGUCUGAACCAGCCAUGCCGCGUGGAGGAUGAAGGUCCUCUGGAUUGUAAACUUCUUUUAUUUGGGACGAAAAAAGGGCAUUCUUGCUCACUUGACGGUACCAGAUGAAUAAGCACCGGCUAACUCCGUGCC
This 488-nucleotide ribosomal RNA is filed under the name uncultured bacterium. RNAcentral describes it as "bacterial SSU rRNA". It matches the Rfam family "Bacterial small subunit ribosomal RNA", at positions 28 to 509 of the family's 1533-position model. The record is from RNAcentral.